This 5187-nucleotide long non-coding RNA is filed under the name Homo sapiens (human). RNAcentral describes it as "HEY2 antisense RNA 1, transcript variant 5 (HEY2-AS1)". Lineage: Eukaryota; Metazoa; Chordata; Mammalia; Primates; Hominidae. The record is from RNAcentral.
GUGGGAACGCGGCCGCGGACCUGGUACCCCAGAGCAGCGAGCGGGUGGGGAGCAGCCGGGGCGAGAAUGAGCGCAAUCUUGCUAACCCCUGCGGAGGGAGCGCGCGGGCGCCAACGCGGGCGCGCGGGGGCGGGCCCUGGACCUGGACCUUGGGUUUCGGCCCUCCUCCGCGCCCCGCGGUCUCGCGGGCGAAGUUUCAGUCCUGAGUGUAAAGAAUAACCCCAAGCGCGUGGCUAAGUGCGAGCAGGCGCGUGUGACGUCGGGAGGCGCCGCGGCUCCUCGGCCGCCCCACUCGGUGGUCCCCUGUCUGGAUCCAAACUGCUGACUGGCUGACCCGAGUGGUCACAUUUGCCCUCUGGGGCUUUUGAAAACCUUAAAUCAAAAUUGCUUUUGAAUCUGACAACUCCUGAGGCUACUUUCGCGGCCUCGGGGCUGUUUCAUAUAAGGACGCGAGUUUUCCUGAUCAGGUCUGUCGGCCACGUUACGAUUUCCAAUUUGCGAUCCAUCAGUUACUUCCAUUGGGUCUUCAGCCCCCAGGGACUGUGGAUCCUAGACCCCGCGGAGAAGCCCGUGGACUGGAGCUGUGUCAGCUCUGAUGAAUUUACACUCAUUGGAAUAAUAAAAUAGAAGUAAGCAACCGUGCAUUAAAAAGCUAUGAAAAGAUGAAGAGAAUAUGCCUUCAAAUGGGAAGGAAUACUUAACUGUGAAUAAGACCUAGUUCAACAUGGAACUUCCUGGUGGCCAAGUCAGAAGAGAAGCACAGAACAAAAACGGAGGCACAGAGAGGUCAAUUGAUUGGUCUAAUGACACAGAUCUAGCAAGUGGUGGAACCAGGACUGAAUCCAGAGGGUUUAUCAAUUGUGUUGAUCUUUUCAAAAAGCAAACUAUCGGAUAUUGGGGGAAGAUGGCAGAUAGGAAACAAGGCUAACGUGCAGCUCCCACAUGAAUGGUCACAACAGUGUGUGCAGACUCACACUGUGAACUUUUCUCCAAGGAUCACUGCAGGAACAUACCAGGAAAACUGAAAGAAUUCACACUUUGAAAGAAGCAGCAUGCCACUGCAAAUUCCAUGAAACAGCAGUGGAGACAACUCGCAACAUCAGCAACACAUUUGGCCCUGGAACUGCUAAUGAAUGUACAGUGCAGUGAUGGUUCAAAAAGUUUUGCAAAGGAGACAAGAGCCUUGAAGAUGAGGAGCAUGGUGGCGGGCCAUCAGAAGUUGACAGUGACCAAUUGAGAGCAAUCAUCGAAGCUGAUCCUCUUACAACUACACAAGAAGUUGCAGAAGAACUCAAUGCCUACCAUUCUAUGGUCACUUGGCAUUUGAUACAAAUUGUAAAGGUGAAAAAGCUGAAUAAAUGGGUGCCUCAUGAGUGAAAAUCAAAAAAAUCAUCAUUUUGAAGUGUCAUCUCCUCUUACUCUUUGCAACAACAAUUUGCAAGAACCAUUUCUUGAUCAGAUUGUGACAUGUGACGAAAAUUGGAUUUUAUACAACUGGCAAUGGCCAGCUCAGCAGUUGGACCGAGAAGAAACUCCAAAACACUUCCCAAAGCCAACCUUGCACCAAAAAAGGUUAUCGUCAUUGUUUGGUGGUCUGCUGCCAAUCUUAUCCACUACAGCUUUCUGAAUCCCGGCAAAACCAUUAUAUCUGAAAAUUAUGCUCAGGAAGUCUAUGAAAUGCACUGAAAACUGCAAUGCCUGGAGCUGGCAUUGGUCAACAGAAAGGGCCCAAUUCUUCUCAAAACAGUGCCUAAUCACACGUCACACAACCAACACUUCAAAAAUUGAACAAAUUGUACUAUGAAGUUUUGUCUAAUCUGCAAUAUUCACUUGACCUCUCACCAACUGACUACCACUUCUUUAAGCAUCUCAACAGCUUUUUGCAGGGAAAACACUUCCACAACCAGCUGGAUGUAGAAAAUGCUUUCCAAGCAUUCACUGAAUCUCAAGGCACAGAUUUUUAUGCUACAGGAAUAAACAAACAUUUCUUGUUGGCAAAAAUGUGUUGAUUGUAAUGGUUCCUGUUUUGAUUAAUAAAGAGGUGGUUUGAGCCUAGUUAUAAUGACUGAAAAUUCAUGAUCUGAAACUGCAAUUACUUGUGCACCAACCUAAUAUGAUCAUCUCAAUAGAUGCAGAAAAAGCACUUGACAAAAUUCAGCAUCUUUUUAUAAUUAAAACCCUCAGCAAAGUUGGCAUAGAAGGGAUAUACCUCAAGGUAAUAAAAGCCAUCUAUGAAAAACCUACAGCCAGAUUAUACAGAAUGGCGAAAGAUUGAAAGCAUUUCCCAUGAGAACUGAAAAAGACAAAGAUGCCCACAUCUACCACUUCUAUUCAAUAUAGUACUGGAAGUCCUAGCCAGAGCAAUCAGACAUGAGAAAGAAAUAAAGGGCAUCAAAAUCAGUAAAGAGGAAGUUGAACUGUUGCUGUUUAGUGGUGAUAUGAAUGUACACCUAGAAAACCCUAAAGAGUCAUCCAAAAAACUGCUAGAUCUGAUAAAUGAAUUCAGCAAAGUUUCAGGAUACAAAAUCAAGGUACACAAAUUAGUAGGACUACUAUACACCAACAAUGACCAAGCUGAGAAACUAACCGAGAACUCAAUCCCUUUUACAACAGCUGCAAGAAAUUAAAACACUUAGAAAUAUACUUAACCAAGAAGGUGAAAGAUCUGUACAAGAAAAACUACAAAACCUGCUGAAAGAAAUCAUUAAUGACUCAAACAAAUGGAAACACAUCCCAUGCUCACAGAUACGUAGAAUCAAUGGUGUGAAAAUAACCAUACUGCCAAAAGCAGUUUACAGAUUGAAUGCAAUUCCAUCAAAAUACCACCAUCAUUCUUCAUAGAACUAGAAAAAACAAUCUGAAAAUUCACAUGAAACCAAAAAAAGAAAAGACCCCACAUAGCCAAAGCAAGACUAAGCAAAAGAACAAAUCUGGAAGCAUCACAUUACCCAGCAAAACAGCAUGAUACUGGUAUAAAAAUAGGCAUGUAGACCAAUGGAACAGAAUAGAGAAUCCAGAAAUAAAGCCAAAUACUUGCAGCCAACUGAUCUUUGACAAAGCAAACAAAAACAUAAAGUGGGGAAAAGUCACCCAAUAUCAACAAAUAGAGCUGCGAUAAUUGGCAAGCUACAUUUAGAAAAAUGAAAUGGAUCCUCAUCUCUCACCUUAUGCAAAAAUCAACUCAAGAUGGAUCAAAGACUUAAAUCUAAGACCUGAAACUAUAAAAAUUCUAGAAGGUAACACUGGCAAAACUCUUCUAGACAUUGGCUUAGGCAAAGAGUACAUGACCAAGAACCCAAAAGCAAAUGCAACAAAAACAAAAGUAAAUAAAUGGGACCUAAUUAAACUAAAAAGCUUCUGCACAGUGAAAGAAACAAUCAGCAGAGUAAACAGGCAACCCACAAAAUGGGAGAAAAUACUCACAAAUUAUGCAUUUGACAAAGGACUAAUAUCAAGAAUCUACAAGGAACUCAAAUCAGCAAGACAAAACAAAUAAUCUCAUCAAAAAGUGGGCAAAGGACAUAAAUAGACAAUUCUCAAAAGAAGAUAUACAAAUGGCCGACAAACACAUGCAAAGAUGCGCAACAUCACUAUCAGGGAAAUGCAAAUCAAAACCACAACGAGAUACUACCUUACUCCUGCAAGAAUGGCCAUAAUUAAAAAAAAUAAUAAAUAGUAGGUGUUGGAGUGGAUAUGGUGAAAAGGGAACACUUUUACACUGCUGGUGGGAAUGUAAGCUAGUACAACCACUGUGUAAAACAGGAUGGAUAUUCCUUAAAGAACUAAAGUAGAACUACCAUUUGAUCCAGCAAUCCCACUGCUGGGUAGAGAGUCUACCCAGAGGAAAAUAAGUCAUUAUAUGGUAAAGACACAAGCAUAUGCAUGCAUUAUAAGUAAGAGGUAAGCUAUGAGAAUGCAAAGGCAUAAGAAUGAUAUCAUGGACUUUGGGGAUUCAGGGGGAAGAGGGAGGUGAGGGAUAAACAACUACACAUUGGGUACAUUGUACACUGCUUGGGUGAUGAGUACACCAAAAUCUGAGAAAUUACCACUAACGCAUUAAUCCAUGCAACCAAAAACUACCAGAAAAGGAUUGACAUUAAAAAAAGUUAAAAUAAAAUAAAAAUAAACUGAGAGGGAGGAAAGCCCUUUGAUUUAUGACACAGAAGCCAUAAACAAUAUGACUAUAGGAUAAUAUGUAUUUUUAAUUUUUUCAAUCUUACUAUAUCAGAAAAUUAUCAGACAUUUGAUAGUACAUCCUCCCCACAAGAAAGGUGUGGGAAAACAUCAUGCAUUCUUGGACUCAACAAAAAUUUGCUUUUAAAUACUAAUUUUAGAAUUAUAAUUGCACAUUUAAAUGAAACAUAUAUAAGGUCAUUGUAUACUUAAAUACUGCUUAUAAUAGCAAAAGACUGCAAACAACAACUUAAAAGUCUAUCAGCAGGAGUCUUGUUAAAGUAUUAUAUAAAUUACACAAUGAAAAACUAAAAAUUGUGCACCUGUAUAGAGAAUACCAAUGCUCUCUAAGCAUGGUGGAAAAUUGUGUUCAUAUUAUGCUAAAAAUUUUAUGGGGGAGAGAAAGAAAAUAUAUACCUAUAAAAUUUGUAGACUGUUUCUCAAAGGAUACAUGAGAAACUUGUAAGAGAGAAUGCAACUGGGGAGGAAAAAUGGGUGGUGGAGUAGAGGAAAGGGAAAUAAACUUAGUUUUCAUUAUUUAAAAAACCAUCUGUUUUGUUGAUUUGCUCUGCUUUUUGAGUUCUCUAUUUUAUUCAUUUUCACCCUAUUAUGUAUUAUUUGCUUCCUCUGUUUGCUCUGGUUUUAAUUUACUCUUCCUUUUCUAGUUUCUUUACCUUCGGGUUUAAAGUAUUGAUUUGAGAUCUUUAUUCUUUUUGAAAGUAAGUAUUUACAGUUAUAACUUUCCCUCUGAACACUGCUUUUAUUGCAUCCUAUGCAUUUUGGUAUGUUGUGUGUUUGUUUUCAUUCAUUUCAGAGUAUUUUCUAAUUUCCCUUGUUAUUUCUUCUUUGACUAAAUAAUUAUGUGAAGUGUAUCAUUUAACUUCUACAUAUUUGGUAAUUUCCCAAUUUUCCUGUUGUUACUUAUUCUAAAUUUACUUCUGUUGGGGUCAGAGAGCACACCUUGUACAACUGUAGUCUUUUAAAAUUUAUUAAAACUUGUUUUGUGGCUUAGUA